Molecule: unclassified non-coding RNA, 1998 nt
Filed under: Leishmania donovani
Lineage: Eukaryota; Euglenozoa; Kinetoplastea; Trypanosomatida; Trypanosomatidae
Description: gene:LdHU3.25.1690(CDS-product:serine/threonine_p rotein_phosphatase_putative)
Source: RNAcentral
UGCGUCUUGACGUUUCUGAAAACAUCGUUGUUGCUGUUGGUCUCGCCAUCCAGAGAGAGACACACGCCUACUCCGACGUGCACGCGCACACGUAUAUAUAUAUAUAUAUAUAUGUGUGUGUGUGUGUGUGUGUGUGGCGCUUGCUCUCUGUCUCGCACUGUCUUGCUCUCUCAGCGUACGCCCGAUUUGGCGUGUGCUUUCGACCUCUCUUUCAGCCAUUUGUCGCACUCCGCUCCGUGCGCCGCCGUUUCCGUCCCCCUCUUUGCGCGCUCCACUCUCUGACCCCCCUCCCCUCCGUCCUAGACGCGCACCCGCUUAUUUACAGCGACAGGCAUCGCUUCCACCUCGAGGGAAGGAACCGACGCCUUGACGGGGAUAUCAGAAGUGAAACUGCGACUGCGAACCCCAACAUCGCCAGCGACUUCAUCUGCACCAUGACGACGGCCGGCGACGGAUCGGCGGUGGGGUCCAGCAGUGCCCUCGACUUGGAUGAGAUGAUUAAUUACGUCAUACAAUGCAAGCCGCUCAGCGAACAGCAGGUGGCGCGUCUGUGCGAGAAGGUGAAGGAGGUGCUGGAGAAGGAGAACAACGUGCACGCGGUGAGAGCGCCAGUCACGGUGUGCGGCGACGUGCAUGGCCAGUUUCACGACUUGCUGGAGCUUUUCAAGAUUGGCGGGUUGCCGCCGGACACGAACUACCUGUUCAUGGGCGACUACGUGGACCGCGGCUACUACAGCGUCGAGACGGUGACGCUGCUUCUCCUCUACAAGCUGCGAUACCCCCAGCGACUACAUCUUCUCCGCGGCAACCACGAGUCGCGCCAGAUCACGCAGGUGUAUGGCUUCUACGAUGAGUGCAUUCGCAAGUACGGUAGCGCCAACGUAUGGACGAUCUUCACGGACCUGUUCGACUACCUGCCCCUGACAGCGUUGGUCGAGAACGACAUCUUCUGCCUUCACGGUGGUCUCUCACCGACGGUCGACACAUUCAGCCACAUCCGCAACCUCGACCGCGUGCAGGAAGUGCCGCACGAGGGGCCGAUGUGCGAUCUGCUGUGGUCGGACCCGGACGAUCGUGAUGGCUGGGGCAUCAGCCCCCGUGGCGCCGGCUUCACCUUCGGCCAAGGAGUCACCGAAGGCUUCUGCCACAACAACAAGAUCAAGACGAUCGCCCGUGCGCAUCAGCUUGUCAUGGACGGCUACAGCUGGACACACCAGGAUCAGCUCGUCACGAUCUUCAGCGCGCCAAACUACUGCUACCGCUGCGGCAACCUCGCCGGCCUUCUGGAGCUCGAUGAGCACAUGAACAAGUGCUUCUUUCAGUUCGACCCGGCUCCGCGACGCGGUGAAGCGCAGGUGUCGAAGAAGACGCCGGACUAUUUUCUAUAGAUACGAUGGAUGGAUGAUUGAUGGCGAUAGCAACGACACACGCACACAGGCACAACUCCCAUCCUCCCCCCGAGGUGCUCGGCACCCCGCCCAGCCGUGUGCGAGUGUACACGUGCUUGCUUCACGGACUUAUCGCCCCUCCCAACCACUGUCUUCUCUCUUCUCCGCUCCCCGGUCACAGCUCCGGGGCAAAUGUCGGAAGAGGGAAGGUGUGUGUGUAUGUGGGUGUGGGGGAGGAGGAGAUUGGAGGACGCAUAGAUGCGGCCCUCGAUCCCAGGCUUGCGCUGGCGUGUCUGUGCGCAUAUGUGUUUCCUUGCGGUGUGCGCGCAGACGUGUGUGCACAGGCAGUGCGUUUUGAUAUACAUGUAUGCGUAUAUAUAUAUAUAUGUAUGUUUGGGUGUAUGUGUGUGCCUGUUUUGCGUAUGAUGGCGCACCGCCAUUUUGACGUCUCUUCCACCAUUCGAAGAAGGAAAAUAAUAAUAACAAAACAAAAAGCGAAAUAAGAGGCGAGUGCGAACACACCGAAAGAAAUGGGAGGCGGGGAGGGGGAGGGGCUGGACGGGAUGCGUGUUGACCUGCGCGAGAGUCAUCUCCAGAAGAGGUAACCCAG